This 800-nucleotide ribosomal RNA is filed under the name uncultured bacterium. RNAcentral's name for it is "bacterial SSU rRNA". It matches the Rfam family "Bacterial small subunit ribosomal RNA", at positions 41 to 869 of the family's 1533-position model. The record is from RNAcentral.
GGCAUGGAUUAGGCAUGCAAGUCGAGCGAGAACCAAGGAAGCUUGCUUCUAAGGGGACAGCGGCGAAAGGGAGAGUAACAGGUAGAUACCUACCUCCAGGCUGGGAAUAGCGUCGGGAAACUGGCGGUAAUGCCCAAUAACAUCUACGGAUCAAAGCUCCGGCGCCUGGAGAUGGGUCUGCUCACUAUUAGCUAGUUGGUAAGGUAAUGGCUUACCAAGGCGACGAUGGUUAGCGGGCGUGAGAGCGUGGCCCGUCUCACUGGGACUGAGACACUGCCCAGACACCUACGGGUGGCUGCAGUCGAGAAUCUUCGGCAAUGGACGCAAGUCUGACCGAGCGAUGCCGCGUGCGGGAUGAAGGCCUUCGGGUUGUAAACCGCUGUCAGAGGGAAGGAAAUUUUGACCAAACCUCAGAGGAAGGUCGGGCUAAGUUCGUGCCAGCAGCCGCGGUAAGACGAACCGACCGAACGUUAUUCGGAAUUACUGGGCUUAAAGGGUGCGUAGGCGGCCAUGCAAGUCAGAUGUGAAAUCCCACGGCUCAACCGUGGAACUGCGUUUGAAACUGCAUGGCUUGAGGGAGAUAGGGGUGAGCGGAACUGAUGGUGGAGCGGUGAAAUGCGUUGAUAUCAUCAGGAACACCGGUGGCGAAGGCGGCUCACUGGGUCUCUUCUGACGCUGAGGCACGAAAGCUAGGGGAGCGAACGGGAUUAGAUACCCCGGUAGUCCUAGCUGUAAACGAUGAGCACUGGAUCGAGGGACCUCCCACAGUUUCUCGGUCGUAGCGAAAGUGUUAAGUGCUC